UACGUAGGGUGCGAGCGUUAAUCGGAAUUAUUGGGCGUAAAGCGAGUGCAGACGGUUGUUUAAGCCAGAUGUGAAAUCCCCGAGCUUAACUUGGGACGUGCAUUUGGAACUGGAUAACUAGAGUGUGUCAGAGGGAGGUAGAAUUCCACAUGUAGCGGUGGAAUGCGUAGAGAUGUGGAGGAAUACCGAUGGCGAAGGCAGCCUCCUGGGAUAACACUGACGUUGAGGCUCGAAAGCGUGGGGAGCAAAC
RNAcentral lists this ribosomal RNA (250 nucleotides) under uncultured bacterium. RNAcentral's name for it is "partial 16S ribosomal RNA". It matches the Rfam family "Bacterial small subunit ribosomal RNA", at positions 524 to 773 of the family's 1533-position model. The record is from RNAcentral.